This 425-nucleotide ribosomal RNA is filed under the name uncultured bacterium. RNAcentral's name for it is "bacterial SSU rRNA". It matches the Rfam family "Bacterial small subunit ribosomal RNA", at positions 355 to 775 of the family's 1533-position model. The record is from RNAcentral.
UCUAGAGGCUUCGGCAAUGGACGAAAGUCUGACCGAGCGACGCCGCGUGCGGGAUGAAGGGCUUCGGCUUGUAAACCGCUUUUCCCUGGGAAGAAGGUUUUCCUCGUGAAGGGAAGUUUGACGGUACCAGGGGAAUAAGCCCCGGCUAACUCCGUGCCAGCAGCCGCGGUAAGACGGAGGGGGCAAGCGUUGUUCGGAAUUAUUGGGCGUAAAGGGCUCGUAGGCUGACAGGUAAGUCUGGCGUGAAAUCUCCACCGCUCACCGGGGAGAGGUCGCUGGAAACUGCCUGUCUGGAGUUCGGCAGAGGACCAUGGAAUUCCAGGUGUAGCGGUGGAAUGCGUAGAUAUCUGGAAGAACACCGGUGGCGAAGGCGGUGGUCUGGGCCGAAACUGACGCUGAGGAGCGAAAGCCAGGGGAGCAAACGG